Non-coding RNA from Kogia breviceps (pygmy sperm whale), 416 nucleotides. Lineage: Eukaryota; Metazoa; Chordata; Mammalia; Artiodactyla; Physeteridae. The record is from RefSeq and is a predicted model, not a curated record.
AUGGCCCGGUUUGUCCAUAACUUCACAGAGAAGGCCCUGGCACUGGUCAACGCUGCUGUGAUUUACUUGAAGCUCGAGUGGCCACAUUUUGGCACUAAGCCAAAGUUGAGUUGGUUCCUCCAAGCCCUGCUGAGAUCCCUACAGCUAUUCACAGCUUGAAAAAAAUUUGUCAAUAGUGCUCAAACCAGUAGCUUCAAACAGCUCACAGUUAAGGAAGCUCUACUGAAUGGUUUGGUGGCCACUGAGGUGUGGAUGUGGGUUUCUGUUGGCGAGAUCAUAGGCAAGCGUGGCAUCGUUGGCUAUGAUGUUUGAAGACCAGUCUUUAACAUGUGAUUAUAUUUGCUUUAUUAUUUGAGUGUUCUUGGACCAUGUAUGAGCAGGCUGAUAUUUGAAUAAAAUAAGACAAUGUGUCAAAA